This 200-nucleotide long non-coding RNA is filed under the name Homo sapiens (human). RNAcentral's name for it is "HSALNT0066767". The record is from RNAcentral. Lineage: Eukaryota; Metazoa; Chordata; Mammalia; Primates; Hominidae.
GCACUAGUGUUUGCAAACAGCCCUCUGGACACUUUUUGUGCAGGAACUGGAAGGGAAAACUGGUCAGCACGUGCUCCUGUGGCCCUGGAGGAUGUCACAGGUGUCUUGUGGAGCGGGGAGCUAAUAAGAGCCGAUCGGGAUUGGUGGUGGAUUUCCAAAGCACAGGUGUCUUGUGGAGCGGGGAGCUAAUAAGAGCCGAU